UGAGAACUCAACAAAGGAUGAUAUUCAUAUUACAAAGCUGCUUUGACCAAAAAGUUGAAAAUAUUGAUCAUACACCAGGACUGAAGUCAGAACCUAUCGUACUCAGAGAGAGUACCAGACUUGUUCACAGGAUAGUAAUGAAAAACAAACUGUCAUGGACCAGACAACGAUACCUUAGUCAUAUUUUAAACCCAUUAAGACAUUCAGUUUAAGGGAACAACUCACACUCAACAGCAUGUGGAUUAUUGGACAUCUUUUCUACACUGCUCUGUGUUUCAAAACACUUUAAAUCAACAGCUUCAACUCAACACACCAGGCUCGACCUAUACCUGAAGAGGAGUUGUCAACACCAGUCCAGUGUGAGACAGACCCCACUGGUUUGGAUGGAGUCAUUGUGUAUGGUGAUCAAACCUAUCCACUGAACCAUCAGCCCAGAAAUAAUGAAGAGGAGUUGUCAACACCAGU
Molecule: long non-coding RNA, 465 nt
Organism: Notolabrus celidotus (New Zealand spotty)
Lineage: Eukaryota; Metazoa; Chordata; Actinopteri; Labriformes; Labridae
Exons: 3
Source: RefSeq, a predicted model, not a curated record